This 2896-nucleotide ribosomal RNA is filed under the name Clostridioides difficile. Its description in RNAcentral is "bacterial LSU rRNA". It matches the Rfam family "Bacterial large subunit ribosomal RNA". Lineage: Bacteria; Bacillati; Bacillota; Clostridia; Peptostreptococcales; Peptostreptococcaceae. The record is from RNAcentral.
UCAAGUUAUUAAGGGUGCAGGGCGGAUGCCUUGGCACUAGGAGCCGAUGAAGGACGUGAUAAGCUGCGAUAAGCUUCGGGGAGUUGCACGUAAACUUUGAUCCGAAGAUUUCCGAAUGAGGAAACUCACUUAGAGUAAUGUCUAAGUAUCAUUAAGUGAAUACAUAGCUUAAUGAGGGGAACUCAGGGAACUGAAACAUCUAAGUACCUGAAGGAAGAGAAAGAAAUUCGAUUCCGUAAGUAGCGGCGAGCGAACGCGGAUUAGCCCAAACCAAUAAAGUUUUCUUUGUUGGGGUUGCGGACAUAUCAUAACGAAGAGGUAUCGUAAUUGAAGAGGUUUGGAAAGACCCACCACAGAAGGUAAUAGUCCUGUAUGUUAAACGAGAAGACUUUAGAUAUGAUCCAGAGUACCACGGGACACGUGAAACCCUGUGGGAAGCAGGAGGGACCACCCUCCAAGGCUAAAUACUACCUAGUGACCGAUAGCGUAUAGUACCGUGAGGGAAAGGUGAAAAGAACCCCGGGAGGGGAGUGAAAUAGAACCUGAAACCCUGCACUUACAAGCUGUGGAAGCACAUUUCUUGUGUGACCGCGUACUUUUUGUAGAACGGGCCAACGAGUUACGUUAAGUAGCAAGGUUAAGCACUUAAGGUGCGGAGCCGUAGCGAAAGCGAGUUUUAACUGAGCGUUCAGUUACUUGACGUAGACCCGAAACCGGGCGACCUACCCAUGAGCAGGAUGAAGCGAAAGUAAAAUUUCGUGGAGGUCCGAACCCACGAGCGUUGAAAAGCUCGGGGAUGACUUGUGGGUAGCGGUGAAAUUCCAAUCGAGCCCGGAGAUAGCUGGUUCUCCCCGAAAUAGCUUUAGGGCUAGCCUCAAGGUGAGAGAUACGGAGGUAGAGCACUGAAUGUCCUAGGGGGUAUUGCACCUACCGAAGACUAUCAAACUCCGAAUGCCGUCAUCUUAUACUUGGGAGUCAGACUGUGGGUGAUAAGAUUCAUAGUCGAAAGGGCAACAGCCCAGAUCGUCAGCUAAGGUCCCUAAAUGUAAGUUAAGUGGUAAAGGAUGUGGGAUUGCACAGACAACCAGGAUGUUGGCUUAGAAGCAGCCACUCAUUCAAAGAGUGCGUAAUAGCUCACUGGUCGAGUGAUCCUGCGCCGAAGAUUUCCGGGGCUAAAACUUACUACCGAAGCUACGGCAUCAGUAAUGAUGGGUAGGGGAGCUUCCCAUACGGGUUGAAGCAUGACCGUAAGGACAUGUGGACAGUAUGGGAGUGAGAAUGUUGGCAUGAGUAGCGAGAUGUGGGUGAGAAUCCCACAGGCCGUAAACCCAAGGUUUCCAGGGGAAGGUUCGUCCGCCCUGGGUUAGUCGGGACCUAAGCUGAGGCCGAAAGGCGUAGGUGAUGGACAACAGGUUGAUAUUCCUGUACUACCGAUAACCGUUUGAGAGAAGGGAUGACACAGUAGGAUAAGCUAAGCACACUGUUGGUUAUGUGUGCCCAAGCAUUGAGGCAGUCAAAGUAGGCAAAUCCGCUUUGAUAAUGCUGGGAUGUGAUGGGGAGCGAAAUUUAGUAGCGAAGUAGCUGAUUUCACACUGUCAAGAAAAGUCUCUAUCGAGGUUAAAGAUACCCGUACCGCAAACCGACACAGGUGGGUGAGGAGAGUAUCCUAAGGCCAGCGAGAGAACUGUUGUUAAGGAACUCGGCAAAAUGACCCCGUAACUUAGGGAUAAGGGGUGCCACCAUCAGGUGGCCGCAGAGAAUAGGCCCAAGCGACUGUUUACCAAAAACAUAGGUUUCUGCUAAGUCGCAAGACGAUGUAUAGGAGCUGACGCCUGCCCGGUGCUGGAAGGUUAAGGGGAUCUGUUAGAGCAAUCGAAGCAGUGAACUUAAGCCCCAGUAAACGGCGGCCGUAACUAUAACGGUCCUAAGGUAGCGAAAUUCCUUGUCGGGUAAGUUCCGACCCGCACGAAAGGCGUAACGAUUUGGGCACUGUCUCAACAACAGACUCGGUGAAAUUGUAAUUCCGGUGAAGAUGCCGGAUACCUGCGACAGGACGGAAAGACCCCAUGGAGCUUUACUGUAGCUUGACAUUGGGUCUUGGUACUACAUGUACAGGAUAGGUGGGAGGCUUUGAAACCAGGACGCCAGUUUUGGCGGAGCCAUCCUUGGGAUACCACCCUUGUAGUACUGGGACUCUAACCAUAGGCCAUGAAUCUGGUCUUGGGACACUGUCAGGUGGGCAGUUUGACUGGGGCGGUCGCCUCCCAAAAGGUAACGGAGGCGCUCAAAGGUUCUCUCAGUACGGUCGGAAAUCGUACGUAGAGUGUAAAGGCAAAAGAGAGCUUGAUUGCAAGACAUACAGGUCGAGCAAGGAUGAAAAUCGGACUUAGUGAUCCGGUGGUUCUGCGUGGAAGGGCCAUCGCUCAACGGAUAAAAGCUACCCUGGGGAUAACAGGCUUAUCUCCCCCAAGAGUCCACAUCGACGGGGAGGUUUGGCACCUCGAUGUCGGCUCAUCACAUCCUGGGGCUGUAGUAGGUCCCAAGGGUUGGGCUGUUCGCCCAUUAAAGUGGUACGCGAGCUGGGUUCAGAACGUCGUGAGACAGUUCGGUCCCUAUCCGUCGCAGGCGUAGGAAAUUUGAGAAGACCUGUCCUUAGUACGAGAGGACCGGGAUGGACGUACCUCUGGUGUACCAGUUGUCCUGCCAAGGGCAUGGCUGGGUAGCUAUGUGCGGAAUGGAUAAGCGCUGAAAGCAUCUAAGCGCGAAGCCAACUUCAAGAUAAGAUUUCCCACCGCAAGGGUAAGACCCCAGAAAGACUAUCUGGUUGAUAGGUCGAAGGUGUAAGUGCAGCAAUGUAUUUAGCUUAUCGAUACUAAUAGGUCGAGGACUUGACCAA